GACGAACGCUGGCGGCGUGCUUAACACAUGCAAGUCGAACGGAAAGGCCCUGCUUUUGUGGGGUGCUCGAGUGCCGAACGGGUGAGUAUCACGUGAGUAACCUGCCCCUGUCUUUGGGAUAACUUCAGGAAACUCGGGCUAAUAUCGGAUAGGAGCUCUUGCUGCAUGGUGUUGGUUGGUAAGUUUCGGCGGUUGGGGAUGGACUCGCGGCUUAUCCGCUUGUUGGUGGGGUAGUGGCUUACCAGGGCUUUGACGGGUAGCCGGCCUGAGAGGGUGACCGGCCACAUUGGGACUGAGAUACGGCCCAGACUCCUACGGGAGGCAGCGGUGGAGAAUAUUGCACAAUGGGCGGAAGCCUGAUGCAGCAACGCCGGGUGCGGGAUGACGGCUUUCGGGGUGUAAACCGCUUUCGCCUGUGACGAAGCGUGAGUGACGGUAAUGGGUAAAGAAGCACCGGCUAACUACGUG
RNAcentral lists this ribosomal RNA (468 nucleotides) under uncultured bacterium. Its description in RNAcentral is "partial 16S ribosomal RNA". It matches the Rfam family "Bacterial small subunit ribosomal RNA", at positions 28 to 507 of the family's 1533-position model. The record is from RNAcentral.